GACCAAGUAGGAUGAAACUGCGGACGGCUCAUUAUAACAGUAAUAGUUUCUUUGGUUAGUAAAGUACAAGGAUAGCUUUGUGAAUGAUAAAGAUAAUACUUGAGACGAUCCAAUUUGUAUUAGUACAAAGUGGCCAAUUUAUGUAAGUAAAUUGAGAAAUGACAUUCUAAGUGAGUUAGGAUGCCACGACAAUUGUAGAACACACAGUGUUUAACAAGUAACCAAUGAGAAUUUCUGAUCUAUCAAUCAGUUGGUAGUAUCGAGGACUACCAAGAUUAUAACGGAUAACGAGGAAUUGGGGUUCGACAUCGGAGAGGGAGCUUUACAGAUGGCUACCACUUCUAAGGAAGGCAGCAGGCGCGUAAAUUACCCACUUUCGAAUUGAAGAGGUAGUGACGACACAUAACUCUAUUUUUGAGUAAAAUCAAUUCUUGAAGGAAUGAGUAGGAGGUAAAUUCUCCUACGAAAUCAAUUGGAGGGCAAGUCUGGUGCCAGCAGCCGCGGUAAUUCCAGCUCCCAAUAGUG
RNAcentral lists this ribosomal RNA (525 nucleotides) under Entamoeba sp. 1 PNS-2013. RNAcentral's name for it is "SSU rRNA". It matches the Rfam family "Eukaryotic small subunit ribosomal RNA", at positions 70 to 599 of the family's 1831-position model. The record is from RNAcentral. Lineage: Eukaryota; Evosea; Mastigamoebida; Endamoebidae.